RNAcentral lists this ribosomal RNA (253 nucleotides) under uncultured bacterium. RNAcentral's name for it is "partial 16S ribosomal RNA". It matches the Rfam family "Bacterial small subunit ribosomal RNA", at positions 524 to 776 of the family's 1533-position model. The record is from RNAcentral.
UACGAAGGGAGCUAGCGUUGUUCGGAAUCACUGGGCGUAAAGCGUCUGUAGGUGGUUUAAUAAGUCAACUGUUAAAUCUUGAGGCUCAACCUCAAAAUCGCAGUCGAAACUAUUAGGCUAGAGUAUAGUAGGGGUAAAGGGAAUUUCCAGUGGAGCGGUGAAAUGCGUAGAGAUUGGAAAGAACACCGAUGGCGAAGGCACUUUACUGGGCUAUUACUAACACUCAGAGACGAAAGCUAGGGUAGCAAAUGGG